AGUGACUGAAAUGCUCUGUAUGUAUCAGAUGCAAACGAAUCUCAAAACCUAACCCAUGAACAGUGACAGCCAUCAAAAUCCUCCAAGAGAUGCUCUAAGCUGGACAGACCACACACGUGAACAAAUAAUUAUGAUGCAGGCGUUGGGAGCUGUAACACAGAGAUAAACAGAGCAUGGUGAGAGCACGGGACAGAGAGCUGCCAAGUUGGACCAGAGACUGUGAGCUCCUCAAGAACAUGCGACCUUGUAAGAUUCAUCUCUUCAAUCCUCUACCCAGCGCUGGACAUGGAGCACAAUGAGCAUCAGUCUAUUAAUGCUGUGAGGCUGUGGUGGUGAUGUGUCUAUCGCUUGGGGGAAUGAAAGUGAAGCGUGCUGGAUGCUUACAAUGGAAUACCAUGCCACAGCAAGAAGGAGCAGGUUUUGCUUGAACCAGAAGAUUCAUUCAUUAAAAUAUUUGUGAGUGAAUAAAUAGAGAAGAGAUAUUAAUACUUCCUCAUAGGAGUUGUUGGGAAAAUUCAACGAGACACCGUCCCUGGCACAAGCAGACACUUAAUUAACGCUGAGUGCAUUUGAAAAGUUCACAGUGCUGUGCAAGUACAAGAUACUGUUACUUUCAAGACAAGGAGUCUUUCCAAAUUGUUCCGUUUACAAAUGUGUGUUUAGACACUCUGAGGAAAGAAGGCAAAGCCCCUUUUAAGAAUUGU
This 704-nucleotide long non-coding RNA is filed under the name Equus caballus (horse). RNAcentral describes it as "lncRNA (ENSECAG00000047582.1)". Lineage: Eukaryota; Metazoa; Chordata; Mammalia; Perissodactyla; Equidae. The record is from RNAcentral.